Molecule: small RNA, 95 nt
Filed under: Loa loa (African eye worm)
Lineage: Eukaryota; Metazoa; Nematoda; Chromadorea; Rhabditida; Onchocercidae
Description: sL1 RNA
Source: RNAcentral
GGUUUGAUUACCCAAGUUUGAGGUACUAUCACAUGAAAAGGCAAAAAGCCCUCAGUAUUAUCACGGUUGAAAAAAUCGGCGACAAUGUUGAUAAA